UUACAUUUUAUUUCUAUUUAAAAAUGAAGUUAACACGGUUUUUACUUUGCGUUUUUGCUUUCGUUUUAAAUAUUUUUAUCGCAUCAGCUGGGCUUCCUAACCCAUUGGGAUUCAUUGAUGACGCUAAAGAUGGAUUGGAUGGAGGCGCAGAGAUGGCUGAAUCAGCUAUAGAUGCAUUCGGAGAUAUUGUGCCUUGACAGAAAAUAUACUUACUGGCUUUAUUAAAUCCUAAAACCAUUAUAUUCUUUGUUUACUUCAAUAUGCAGAACAUAUACAUAUAUGAAAUUACUAAUAUCACAACCGAAAGUGUAUUACCAUUCUCCUCUGAGAAGCUUUAAUUUAUUAUUAAAGGAUUCAAACAAAAACCUUCCGGUAAAUGAAGGAAUUUUAAUAAAACUACAUUCAAAUAUCUGAUUACAUUAAGUAUUAAAAAUACCUAUACCUUAUAAAAUCUUUGAUUCGGGAAGUUUCUUUUCGUUCCGAUCAAUAACAUACAUGCAAUUUUAUGUUUAUUUGAUUUACUAGAAAAACCAAUUCCUAUGUUACGACAUCUGUUUUUUGUUAUAUUUUUAUUUAUCUACGUAGAUGCAAACUAUGUUAAUAAAACUAUGACAAAACCUGGACGUGUAAGGUUCUAUCCACGAAAUUCUGUAUUUCGAAAGUCAGACCUCAUUGACAGAGGUUGUUCUGUUUUCUUAAAGGAAUGUCCAGCAGCUUAUAAGAGAAAUUCAGUCUGCGCCCGACACUAUGAUGGUCAAUACAAAACAUUUUCGAAUUAUUGCGUGCUUGAAUAUGAAAAUUGUAAUGCAUGGAGACAAUGGAGUAUGGUGAAAAAUGAGCGCUGUUGAUUGCUAAUUUAAAUUGUAAGAUGUUUCUUAUCUCGUAAUAGAAUUUGAAAAAAUUAUUUUUUAUUUAGUAAAAGAAAUUCCUUUCAUAAAUAAUAAAAACACAUUAAUUUUUCCAUUAACAGAAAAAAUAUUUAAUAAUAACAGGAUGAUAAGUACUAAUUAAUAAGAAACAAUUUUAUUUUGUAUUCUAAUCCCUAAUGGAAUCGCGUGUAGACAUAAAUAGGCUUUAUAAGUGCACUGGUUUGUUUAAUGUUGGCGGAAUCGUUUUCUUAAAUGAAACAAAGCACUGUUGAUGACGUCAUAUUUCCUACAAAGAUAUGGUAGUUCGGGGAAAUAUCCUCAGACCAUCGAGGUUGAGUGGGUAUCAUUUGGGUAAAUUGCAAGCACAAAAGACGUGAACUAUUUUCGUCACAUCGUCUCCUCUCAACACUACAAUGCUCCACUGAAUACUCAAUCAGAACUGUCUUGCGUUCUCUGUUCACAUUGUCAAAAGUCAAGAUUGCGUCUCAAGGCAUUUUCUGCUCUGAUUUGUUGUGAAGAAAUUUUUGUACUUUUAUUCGAUUUGGCCUCCGGUG
This is a long non-coding RNA of Pieris brassicae (large cabbage white), 1423 nucleotides long. RefSeq lists it as uncharacterized. Lineage: Eukaryota; Metazoa; Arthropoda; Insecta; Lepidoptera; Pieridae. The record is from RefSeq and is a predicted model, not a curated record. The transcript has 6 exons.